GCAAUUAUACCAGCGCUAAUACAUUGGAUUCAUUAAGAACUCCGAAGUCAAGCGUACUUAGGCGAGAAUAAUACUAGGAUGGGUGACCCCCUAGAAAGUCCUCGUGUUGUACCCC
Molecule: ribosomal RNA, 115 nt
Filed under: Salvia splendens (bonfire salvia)
Lineage: Eukaryota; Viridiplantae; Streptophyta; Magnoliopsida; Lamiales; Lamiaceae
Source: RNAcentral